This 372-nucleotide ribosomal RNA is filed under the name uncultured organism. Its description in RNAcentral is "partial 16S ribosomal RNA". It matches the Rfam family "Bacterial small subunit ribosomal RNA", at positions 527 to 896 of the family's 1533-position model. The record is from RNAcentral.
GUAGGUGGCAAGCGUUGUCCGGAAUUAUUGGGCGUAAAGCGCGCGCAGGCGGUUCUUUAAGUCUGAUGUGAAAGCCCACGGGCUCAACCGUGGAGGGUCAUUGGAAACUGGAGAACUUGAAUACAGAAGAGGAAAGCGGAAUUCCACGUGUAGCGGUGAAAUGCGUAGAGAUGUGGAGGAACACCAGUGGCGAAGGCGGCUUUCUGGUCUGUAACUGACGCUGAGGCGCGAAAGCGUGGGGAGCAAACAGGAUUAGAUACCCUGGUAGUCCACGCCGUAAACGAUGAGUGCUAAGUGUUAGGGGGUUUCCGCCCCUUAGUGCUGCAGCUAACGCAUUAAGCACUCCGCCUGGGGAGUACGGCCGCAAGGCUG